CUCUGCUACAAAAACAAGAAACCACUUCCCCCUUCUCUUUCUCUUCUCUUCUCUCCCUUAAGUCUCCUCUCUAAACCUUGUAAAGGAGACGUAUUCCAUGUGCUUUGGUCCCUCAACGCCGCGAUCAGAGGCUCCUCCGUCUCCCCUCCACUGAGAUCUGCUCCUCAAUUUGCCUGACGCCCCGCAGAGCAGGGCUGGGGAACUGCACGGUUGAGUUUGAUUUCGGAAUUCAUGACAUGGGUUCUGUCUCCCUUCUGAUUCUGCUCCGUUGGGUUGCUUUAAGGGAUGAAGAGAUUAAGAGAUGAUGCCUACCGUGGCAGCGGGUUUCCAAUUCAAACGUCCCUUUGGUUCUUCAAGUUAAAAAACCGGGUUUGGCAGAGGUGGGGGCAUGGCAGGAGGUGGCAGUGCCUCUUAGAAGCUGACAACCAAUGAUGCAUUGACGUACCUCAAGGAGGUCAAGGACAUGUUCCAAGAUCAAAGGGAAAAGUAUGACAUGUUCCUGGAGGUCAUGAAAGAUUUCAAAGCUCAAAGAACUGAUACUGCUGGAGUCAUUGCAAGAGUAAAGGAAUUACUCGAGGGGCAUAACAAUUUAAUUUGGGGAUUCAAUACAUUCUUACCAAAGGGUUAUGAAAUCACCGUGGAUGACGAUGAAGCUCCAGCAUGGAAAAUAGUGG
Molecule: non-coding RNA, 674 nt
Organism: Punica granatum (pomegranate)
Lineage: Eukaryota; Viridiplantae; Streptophyta; Magnoliopsida; Myrtales; Lythraceae
Source: RefSeq, a predicted model, not a curated record